Molecule: ribosomal RNA, 687 nt
Filed under: uncultured Pseudomonadota bacterium
Lineage: Bacteria; Pseudomonadati; Pseudomonadota
Description: bacterial SSU rRNA
Rfam family: Bacterial small subunit ribosomal RNA
Source: RNAcentral
GCCUAACACAUGCAAGUCGAACGGUAACAGGAAGAAGCUUGCUUCUUUGCUGACGAGUGGCGGACGGGUGAGUAAUGUCUGGGAAACUGCCUGAUGGAGGGGGAUAACUACUGGAAACGGUAGCUAAUACCGCAUAACGUCGCAAGACCAAAGAGGGGGACCUUCGGGCCUCUUGCCAUCGGAUGUGCCCAGAUGGGAUUAGCUAGUAGGUGGGGUAACGGCUCACCUAGGCGACGAUCCCUAGCUGGUCUGAGAGGAUGACCAGCCACACUGGAACUGAGACACGGUCCAGACUCCUGCGGGAGGCAGCAGUGGGGAAUAUUGCACAAUGGGCGCAAGCCUGAUGCAGCCAUGCCGCGUGUAUGAAGAAGGUCUUCGGGUUGUAAAGUACUUUCAGCGGGGAGGAAGGGAGUAAAGUUAAUACCUUUGCUCAUUGACGUUACCCGCAGAAGAAGCACCGGCUAACUCCGUGCCAGCAGCCGCGGUAAUACGGAGGGUGCAAGCGUUAAUCGGAAUUACUGGGCGUAAAGCGCACGCAGGCGGUUUGUUAAGUCAGAUGUGAAAUCCCCGGGCUCAACCUGGGAACUGCAUCUGAUACUGGCAAGCUUGAGUCUCGUAGAGGGGGGUAGAAUUCCAGGUGUAGCGGUGAAAUGCGUAGAGAUCUGGAGGAAUACCGGUGGCGAAGGC